GGACUACUGGGGUAUCUAAUCCUGUUUGAUCCCCACACUUUCGUGCCUCAGCGUCAGUUACUCCUUAGUAAGCUGCCUUCGCUAUCGGUGUUCUGGACGAUCUCUAAGCAUUUCACCGCUACACCGUCCAUUCCGCCUACCUCAUCAGUACUCAAGUCCUGCAGUAUCAAUUGCACCUCGACAGUUAAGCUGCCGUAUUUCACAACUGACUUAUAGGACCGCCUACGCACCCUUUAAACCCAAUAAAUCCGGACAACGCUUGCCACCUACGUAUUACCGCGGCUGCUGGCAC
Molecule: ribosomal RNA, 292 nt
Filed under: uncultured bacterium
Lineage: Bacteria
Also listed under: 1 other name
Description: partial 16S ribosomal RNA
Source: RNAcentral